GAGGCAGGAGGGGCGGUUAACCACCAAUCGGCUAGCUCUGGCCACCUCAAAAAGCAGCAGGGACAAGGAUGGCAGCAGAAGCCAGAGGCCUCUCGGGUCACGGUGGGGGUGCAUACUGUCACUGGAGUGCGCGAGGAAGGCCACAAGGAAGAUCUGGGAGACAUCAAGCGUUCCGGACAUUGUGAAAGUUUCCCUUUAAGUUACGAUGGGAAUCCUGAACAACGCCGUUUGGAGCCCUCGGCAGGUAGCAUGGAAAGGCUGAUUUUUAAAAAAAAAACUUAUAAACAGACAUUUGUUUCUCACCAGUUCCAGGAACCUGUAAGUCCGAGAUCAGGGUGCCUGCAUGGUUCAGUUCUGGUGAGGGGCUCUUUCAGGUUGCAGACUGCUGACUCCUCCUUGUGUCCUCACAUGGUAGAGAGCACAGACAGCUGCUGAUUUAUUUUCUAUUCAUAAUGUAUGUUUGACAUAUUUGAUGAAACUGAGUUCACUUUCAUUUCAGAUAAUAAAAGCCAUAUUCUAGCAGGAAUAGUAAGUAAUAAAUAGCUUCUGUUCUAGCAGGAAUCAAUGUUUAGGUUUUUUGUUUUUUUAAGACAGGAUCUUGCUCUGUCAUCCAGGCUGUAAUACAGUAGGAUCAUGACUCACUGUAACCUCUGCCUCCUCGGCUCAUGUGAUCCUCCCGCCUCAGCCUCCCAAGUAGCUGGGAACACAGGCACUUACCACCACACCAAGCUAAAAUUUUUGUAUUUUUUAUAGAGAUGGGGAGUCAUCAUGUUGUCCAGGCUGGUCUUGAACUCCUGGCUGCAAGUGAUCCACCUGCUUAGGCCUCCCAAAGUCUCGGGAUUACAAGUGUGAGCCACGGUGCCCAGCCAAUGUUUUAUUUUUUAUUUUGAAAUAAUUUCAAAACCAUUGAUUGGGUAAGAACCUACAAAGAAUUGCCAUAUACCCUUCUCCCAAGUUCUUCACUGUCACCAUUUUAACACAUUUUUCAUUUUUGCCUUAUUAAUUUCUCUGUAGAGGCACAUAUAUGUAUGUGUAUAUACACACAUUAAUUUUUUCCUAAGCCAUUUACUGAGUCUAAGUUGCAGAAAUGAUGCCCACUACUCCAAAACAGUUCAGUGUGUAUUACCUAAAAAAAAGAGGCUCUCAUUUAUAACCAGUCUAUCUAUGAAAAUCAGAAUUUAACACUGAUUCAUUACUAUCACCUAAUCCAGACCCCAAAUUUCACUGAUUGUUCUGACAAUAUUCUUUGAACAAAAUAAAUACAAGGCCUUCUUAUUUCCCUUUUUCCUUUCUUGUCCAGGAUGCAAUAUGGAAUCACACAUUGCACACAGUUGUCAUGUCACUUUGGUCUCUUUCAGUCUGGAAUCUUGUUUAGGUUUUCCUUAUCUUUCAUGAUCUUGUCAUUUCUGAAGAGUACAGGCCAGUUACUUUGUAGAAUUAUUGAAAUCUGGGUUUAUGUAUAGUUUUAGCAUGAUUAGAUUUGGGUGGUACAUAUUAGAUAACUAUUUUAGAUUAGAUUAUGUAGGAAAUGCUUUUAUAUUCUUCUCAGUGCCUCAGGAGGCAUGUAAUUUGAAUUUAUUUUUUCUUUCCUGUUUUUAAUUUUGUAGAGACGGGGAUCUUCUUUUGUGACCAGGCUGGUCUCGAACUCCUGGGCUGAAGUGAUCCUCCUGGCUCAGCUUCCCAAAAUGUUGGGAUUACAGGUGUGAACCUAUAGAUUUAAUUCAUCCUACUAUUAGUGAUUUUUAACUUUUACCACUUGAAUAAGGUGCUGUUGGCUGAGGGUGCUGGACAAUUACCCCCUAGCUCCUGGUGUCACCAACUGCACUGGCUGAGCCAGCCAUGCUAGCCACAAACCCCUGGUGGUGACCAAGGGAAAUGGGUAUAUAUAUUUUUUAUUUUGCCGUCAUGGAUUUAUAAGGUAAGAAGGAGGAGGAUAAGGAAGAUAAAGUAUAUUUAAUUUAACACGUUAUUUGUUUCAUAACUUAUUUUUUUGGAUUUUAUUUUUUAUAGAGACAGGGUCUCACUAUGUUUCCCAGGCUGGUCUCGAACUCUUAGGUUUAAGUGAUUUUUCUGCCUUGGCCUCCCAAAGUGCAGGGAUUACAGGCAUGACUCACCACAUCCAGCUUGCUUCAUGACUUCUAAAUAUUCAGAUGAAUGGUAUGUGGGUCUUCCUAUGAACCCUUGCCCUAAAACAUGCAAAAGUUAGGAGUGGGCCUGUUUCCAGGCAGACUUUCCUUCCUGAUGCUUCUGCCUCCAAUGUAAGCAGGGCCUGACCAAGACAUGUAGUACCUUUGGUAGGCUAAUAACUUGAUAAUCCACCAAAAUGAAGGUUUUAAAGUAUUUUCUACAAAUACAAAUUGAAUACCUCUUUCUUUACACUUUUUAGGGCAGCUCUGCAAAAAUAGAAUCACACUUCCUGUGAGAAGUAUUUGAAGUUUUCUUUUCUAGAUCUCUGUUGACAUCCGCCAUAGUGGACUCUGUUUAUUUUUCCUAUUAUAUAAGGAAUUACAAGUUGGAAUCAAAGGUAAUUGGCAUC
This is a long non-coding RNA of Callithrix jacchus (white-tufted-ear marmoset), 2536 nucleotides long. The record is from Ensembl. Lineage: Eukaryota; Metazoa; Chordata; Mammalia; Primates; Cebidae.